Paramuricea clavata is the source of this 993-nucleotide non-coding RNA. Lineage: Eukaryota; Metazoa; Cnidaria; Anthozoa; Malacalcyonacea; Plexauridae. The record is from the annotation of a GenBank genome assembly.
CGCGGGUUCGAGACCCAGCCGCGGCAGACAACAUCUUCCUGCUUGCGCUGGGUAUGGAAAUUAUAUAAUACACACUCUAGAACAUUUUCAUCUUAACAUAUUACAGAGUGUACAAUUACACAACUAACAUAUAUAUAUAUGUAGAACUCACAAAAUUUUCGAGCUGUUUGACCUAAAAAUCACCGCCGAAUCCAAUUUACAAUUUACGCAUAGUAAUUUUUUUCGGAAUGAUGUAAUCUUCGAUCUUAACAAUGGAAAAUAUGCCCUAUAAGAAGCCCAAUGACGAUCCGCUAUACACAAAUAGGUACUCUAACCAUCCACUAGGCAUUAUAAGGCAGCUACCUACAUCAAAGCAUUGCACUGCUUUCAUCAGAUGAGCAAACAUUUAAGGAAUCUGCACCUGCAUACCAAAACGCACUUAUCUUCUCGCGGAAAUUUCCAAAUUUUUCUUACCACAUCGGAAAUUAUCGGGAAUUUCUCAACCCCCCUCGGCAAUUUUCUUGACCCCCUCAGAAAUUAUCGGCAAUUUUCUUGAACCCUCGGAAAUUUUCAGCGAUUUUUUUGACCCCUCGGAAAUUCUCGUCAACAGGUAGUAGCCCUUCAGAAAUUAUCGGGAAUUUCUCGACCCCCUCAGAAAUUAUCGGCAAUUUUCUUGACCCCCCCCUCGGAAAUUUUCAGCGAUUUUCUUGACCCCUCGGAAAUUCUCGUCAACAGGUAGUAGCCCUUCAGAAAUUAUCGGGAAUUUCUCGACCCCCUCAGAAAUUAUCGGCAAUUUUCUUGACCCCCUCGGAAAUUUUCAGCGAUUUUUUUGACCCCUCGGAAUUUCUCGUCAACAGGUAGUACUCCUUCAGAAAUUUCAGGUAUUACCCCUUUAAUUUAAAAAAAAAAUUUGACCCAUUCAGAAAUUUUCUUUUUCCAACACCCCUCGGAAAUUUCAACUUCAGACCCCCCUCAGAAAUUCAGAAAAUUUCAGACCCUUCGGAAAAUCUCGUC